CCCUUAGAUGUUCUGGGCCGCACACGCGCUACACUGAAGGAGGCAGCGUGUACUCCUGGAUCGAAAGAUUUGGGUAACCCGCGAAUCUCCUUCGUGCUAGGGAUUGAGGUUUGCAAUUAUCCUUCAUGAACGAGGAAUUCCCAGUAAGUGCAAGUCAUAAGCUUGCGCUGACUACGUCCCUGCCCUUUGUACACACCGCCCGUCGCUACUACCGAUUGAAUGAAUUAGUGAGGACUUCGGACUGGGACCGAUGCGGCUUUCGGGCUGCGUCGGUAUUCUGGAAAGAUGUCCAAACUGUAUCAUUUAGAGGAAGUAAAAGUCGUAACA
Molecule: ribosomal RNA, 327 nt
Filed under: uncultured eukaryote
Lineage: Eukaryota
Description: partial 18S ribosomal RNA
Rfam family: Eukaryotic small subunit ribosomal RNA
Source: RNAcentral